UACGGAGGGUGCAAGCGUUGCUCGGAAUCAUUGGGCGUAAAGCGAGCGUAGGCGGUCUCGUAAGUCGGAUGUGAAAGCCCUCGGCUCAACCGAGGAAGUGCACCCGAAACUGCGAGACUUGAGUGUCGGAGAGGGUGACGGAAUUCCCGGUGUAGAGGUGAAAUUCGUAGAUAUCGGGAGGAACAUCAGUGGCGAAGGCGGUCACCUGGACGAUAACUGACGCUGAGGCUCGAAAGCGUGGGGAGCAAACAGG
RNAcentral lists this ribosomal RNA (253 nucleotides) under uncultured bacterium. RNAcentral's name for it is "partial 16S ribosomal RNA". It matches the Rfam family "Bacterial small subunit ribosomal RNA", at positions 524 to 776 of the family's 1533-position model. The record is from RNAcentral.